This 200-nucleotide ribosomal RNA is filed under the name uncultured prokaryote. Its description in RNAcentral is "partial 16S ribosomal RNA". It matches the Rfam family "Bacterial small subunit ribosomal RNA", at positions 1182 to 1382 of the family's 1533-position model. The record is from RNAcentral.
AUGUCAAAUCAUCAUGCCUCUUACGUCCAGGGCUACAGGCGUGCUACAAUGGCUGAUAUAAAGAGUCGCAAUAUCGCAAGAUGGAGCUAAUCUUCAAAAUCGGUCUCAGUCCGGAUUGGAGUCUGCAACUCGACUCCAUGAAGUUGGAAUCACUAGUAAUCGUGAAUCAGAAUGUCACGGUGAGUACGUUCCCGGGUGUU